Molecule: non-coding RNA, 1716 nt
Organism: Aegilops tauschii subsp. strangulata
Lineage: Eukaryota; Viridiplantae; Streptophyta; Magnoliopsida; Poales; Poaceae
Source: RefSeq, a predicted model, not a curated record
CACUUCAGUACCUUAUCCCUUCCAUUGUCUCCGCACCGCUCUCAGAAAAAAAGCCACCGCAUCCUCGGUGCUCCCGGCGGGUACGGCGAAGGAGUCCCUGGGCAUGCUGCUGCUGCGCCGACGCCUUCGCCAUCCGCACCGUCGUGGGCAAUGCCAAAUACAACGCCGAUGCCGCAUAUACGCGCGCGCGCCGGUCGCCACCGCGUCCUCGGUGCGCCCGACCACGGAGGAGGGGGAGGAGCAGGCGCAGUGGCGAAGGAGCCGGCAGCGUAGACGGAGGGAGAGGAGUAGCGCGAGGGGCGCGGACGGAGGGGUCGCCGGGGACGUUUGGCGCGCCACCACACAACGGUCCCGGGCCGCCGCCGGGAGGCAGAGAGGCGACAAGUGCAGCGAGGAGGAGGCUAUGAAGGUCUGCAAAUCAUGACACAAUUCAGCAGUUGAGCAACAAUCGAGGGACUGGGUUAUGAUCAUUACCUGUUGGGAGUGGUAGGGGCCAUACGAAGUCCUUCAACCCUGUGAAUGUCAAGAGUGUUAUCAUACAACUAUCUUUGAAGGAAUAGUAUUACCGGAAUACAGACAUAGUAGAAUUUUAUGUUCAACUCCCACCAACUCUUUACCUUCAGAGCUUUCUUGUGGUGCCUCUGCUUACCCAAAUGAAUUCAAUUUGCAUUAAUAUACUUAGUAUAAUGCUACAAGAUGUAGUUAUUUGUAAUACUAUUCAUCUAGGUUUGUUACCCAAAUGGAUUCAAUUUGCAUUAAUAUACUUGCAUAAUGCUACAAAAUAUAGUAGUUUGUAAUACUAUUCAUCUAGGUCUGCUACCCAAAUGAAUUCAAUUUGCAUUAAUAUACUUGGCAUAAUGUAACAGGAUGUAGUAGUUUGUAAUACUAUUCAUCUAGGUCUCUUUUAGAGUGUGGCUUUUUUUUAUGUUCAUAUUACUUUAACUGAGCAAUGGGUGAACCAUAUGCAGCUCGGUGAGGCUUUUAGGUGAGGUCAGUACCAUGUGCAUUUGCCAAUGCUUCAUGGUAUGAUUUCAGGUUUAGGUCAGAAAAGCAACAGGAUCAAUCAAAUGGAUCACACUGGCAACAUGUUGGCAAAUAAGCAUGCACCUGCGGAGCAGUUCAUCGGCGCUGUGACUUCGUCGUAUGCGCAGUGCGGCGAUGGCGCGGGACAGUCUGGGUGGCGGCGGCGUGUAAAAGCCUCACAAAGUUCAGACAGUCUGGGCGGCACCUUUGUUGGCGAAGAGCUCAGACGUGAAUGACGCGGGGCAGGUCAGCUCGUCGCACCCGUCGUCGGGUCCCUCGCCGGCUGGGCAGGGCAGCGAUGGCGCAGGUCAACCUGGACGCCUGGAUGGGAACAAAGUUUAGACAGUCUGGGCGGUACCUGUAUUGACGAAGAGCUCGUCGUUGUGGCCGUCGUCUGGUGCCUUGCCGUCUACGCAGGGCAGCGAUGGCGCAGGUAAACCUGGAUGCCUGGACGGCAAUAGAGUUCAGCUAGUCUCGGCGCGGCACCUGUGUCGGCAAAGAGCUCGUCGUCGCCGCCGUGGUCGGGUGCCUCGUCGGCUGUCCAGGGCAGCGAUGUCGCGGGUUAACCUGGACGCCUGGAUGGCAACGCGGAACGGCGGCGGCGGGGGAAAAUAAAUUGGUUGCCGCUAAUUUAGCAACUUUCUUUCUGUAUUGUUGAACAAUUCAUGCGGAACGAACGUUUGGUUUCCCUUU